AUGCCCAGCUCGCCCAAGUUGUUCUCCUCCUCGGCGGCCGCAGCCUCCCGCCGCUCCUCGCUCCGCCGCCUCCUCUCCUCGCCGGCCGUCUCCGUGGCCUGCCUCCUCUUCGGCCUCGCCGGGUUCCUCGCCGCCGCGGUCUCCCUCUCCCGGGCGCCCGCCGAGGCCCCGCGGGGCCGCUGCCCGGACUCCUCGCACCCGCUCUCCGUCUCCGUCGCCUGGGACCGGCGCCCCGAGGAUGCCGCGGGCGGCGCCACUGACCUCCCGGCGGGCCUCGCCACCGGAUCGCGCGGCAGGCACAAGGUCAUGGCCUUCGUCGGGAUCUUCACCGGGUUCGGCUCCGUCGGCCGCCGCCGCGCGCUCAGGCGGACGUGGCUCCCAUCCGAUCGGCAGGGUCUCCUUCGGUUGGAGGAAGCUACUGGUCUGGCAUUCAGAUUCGUGAUCGGCAAAAGCAAUGACAAGUCUAAGAUGGCAGCUCUUGAAAGAGAGGUUGAAGAAUAUGAUGAUUUUGUGCUUUUAGAUCUCGAGGAGGAGUAUAGCAGGCUUCCAUACAAAACGUUAGCAUUCUUUAAGGCUGCCUAUGCGUUGUUCGAUUCUGAUUUCUAUGUUAAAGCUGAUGAUGACAUUUACUUGAGGCCAGAUAGACUCUCCUUGCUUUUGGCCAAGGAACGUACACAUACACAAACAUACAUUGGAUGCAUGAAGAAGGGGCCUGUUUUUACUGAUCCCAAAUUGAAAUGGUACGAGCCACAGUCCUUCCUACUUGGAUCAGAAUACUUCCUUCAUGCAUAUGGGCCUAUUUAUGCUUUAUCAGCUGAUGUGGUGGCAAGCCUGGUUGCUCUGAGAAACAACAGUUUUCGAAUGUUCAACAAUGAGGAUGUUACUAUUGGAUCCUGGAUGCUUGCUAUGAACGUCAACCACGAGAACACGCAUGCUCUGUGCGAACCCGAGUGCACAGCGUCCUCAAUUGCUGUCUGGGAUAUUCCAAAAUGCUCAGGGCUAUGCCACCCGGAGGUAAAGAUGCUGGAGCUUCACCAGCGGAAAGAGUGCACGGGUGGUCCAACGGAGGCCGCUGAAACCGAUGACGAGUGA
RNAcentral lists this ribosomal RNA (1092 nucleotides) under Triticum aestivum (bread wheat). Its description in RNAcentral is "partial small subunit ribosomal RNA". The record is from RNAcentral. Lineage: Eukaryota; Viridiplantae; Streptophyta; Magnoliopsida; Poales; Poaceae.